CUUUUCAUAGUCCACAGAAUGCCGUUUCUUUGGGUGCUGAAAAUGCUCUGGAUGGUAGCCAGUGCUUGUCACCACGGACCAGGAUGAGCCAACAGAGUUGUUUGCUGUAACAGGUCAUCCCCGCAAGACUUUUUCCACUCAGACUUUGAUGUGGGAUCCGUGCGUCGGCCACCGAGGCGCCUGUGAUGGAACACUGUGCCAAAUCGGACCUUAUCUCUUCUCAUCCUGUCAUCCAUUCAGCUAAACGUAAUCACAGAAGCCUCCAUGUGAACGCUUUGGAUACAAUAAAAGAUUUUGGUCACAUAAAAGGUAUUACGCCUAAGGCCACAGACUUUCACAGGAGUAUUUUAUGUUAGAUGUGUUGGCAUCCCCCCCUCUGCUGUAAUAGCGUGGGGCCUCCAGUCUGUUUCAUUAAAUUGCCUGCACAUGCUAUACAUUCCA
Molecule: long non-coding RNA, 441 nt
Organism: Cyprinus carpio carpio
Lineage: Eukaryota; Metazoa; Chordata; Actinopteri; Cypriniformes; Cyprinidae
Source: Ensembl